UUUACUCUGUAGUCUAAACACGUCUGUUAUCUUUUCCCUUUAUUAGAUAAUGGAUGACAAAAGGUCACACGACCCACCCUAACAAGGUUGCUACUAAGAGCGACAUCUUAAUGGCACCUUAAAACUCUGCUUACGGAAAUGACACACGUAAUUGAAUCUUAAUUUAGAAUUUCUCCAGAUGGAACAGCUGAGGAUGAAGAUGCAUUCUAUGUCCCUGGAGUGAUAAAGUGGUUGACUGGACAGGAACACCAGCAUGCAUCUUCUAAAUGCAGACAGACAAACUUGUAGGAUAAGUGUCUACUUUGACCAUGAAUGUAACAAUAAAGUAACAGUCCAUUGUG
This is a long non-coding RNA of Phyllopteryx taeniolatus (common seadragon), 341 nucleotides long. RefSeq lists it as uncharacterized. The record is from RefSeq and is a predicted model, not a curated record. The transcript is spliced from 2 exons. Lineage: Eukaryota; Metazoa; Chordata; Actinopteri; Syngnathiformes; Syngnathidae.